This 235-nucleotide ribosomal RNA is filed under the name uncultured bacterium. RNAcentral describes it as "partial 16S ribosomal RNA". It matches the Rfam family "Bacterial small subunit ribosomal RNA", at positions 118 to 347 of the family's 1533-position model. The record is from RNAcentral.
UGAGCAAUCUGCCCUUCUCAUCGGAAUAAGCGUUGGAAACGACGUCUAAUGCCGAAUACGACCUCCUUUCGCAUGAUCGGAGGUGGAAAGCUCCGGCGGAGAAGGAUGAGCUCGCGGCCUAUCAGCUAGUUGGUGUGGGUAAUGGCCCACAAGGCGACGACGGGUAGCCGGCCUGAGGAGGGUGACCGGCCACACGUGGGACUGAGACACGGCCCAGACCUCCGUACGGGAGCAG